GAUGAACGCUAGCGGGAGGCCUAACACAUGCAAGCCGAGCGGUAUUUGUCCUUCGGGACAGAGAGAGCGGCGUACGGGUGCGGAACACGUGUGCAACCUGCCUUUAUCUGGGGGAUAGCCUUUCGAAAGGAAGAUUAAUACCCCAUAAUAUAUCGAAUGGCAUCAUUCGAUAUUGAAAACUCCGGUGGAUAGAGAUGGGCACGCGCAAGAUUAGAUAGUUGGUGAGGUAACGGCUCACCAAGUCAGUGAUCUUUAGGGGGCCUGAGAGGGUGAUCCCCCACACUGGUACUGAGACCCGGACCAGACUCCUACGGGAGGCAGCAGUGAGGAAUAUUGGACAAUGGGUGAGAGCCUGAUCCAGCCAUCCCGCGUGAAGGACUAAGGCCCUAUGGGUUGUAAACUUCUUUUAUACUGGGAUAAACCUACUUACGUGUAAGUAGCUGAAGGUACAGUAUGAAUAAGCACCGGCUAACUCCGUG
This 479-nucleotide ribosomal RNA is filed under the name uncultured bacterium. Its description in RNAcentral is "partial 16S ribosomal RNA". It matches the Rfam family "Bacterial small subunit ribosomal RNA", at positions 28 to 507 of the family's 1533-position model. The record is from RNAcentral.